RNAcentral lists this ribosomal RNA (2037 nucleotides) under Triticum aestivum (bread wheat). Its description in RNAcentral is "partial small subunit ribosomal RNA". Lineage: Eukaryota; Viridiplantae; Streptophyta; Magnoliopsida; Poales; Poaceae. The record is from RNAcentral.
AUGAGGCUCUCCCACCAUAAAUACCAAGCGGUUAUCGCAAUUAAUUCACUUGCAUUCUGGCAACCUAAUAUAUAUAGUUCCUGGUGCAGCAUAAUGAAAACCGGAUCAAUCAGGACGUGCCACCUGCUUUACUGGGGGAUCUGGUUGGGUACACAUCUGGGUUCAGCUAGCGAUGACUGUCAGCCUGACAUUAUUGUUCGUCUCAUGCUCGGCUGGUGCCGUCGAUGUCAUCUCCUCACUACCUCGGCUCCCGCGGAAAGACUGCUUCAUCAAAGGAGAAACUGGGGAUCCCCCGGCUGCGUUCUGCCGAGAGCCGUGUAUGUGGAGUUGAGGACGCACGUGGACGGAUGGCGGAGAGAGGCACACGCAGAUAAUGGAGGCGGGGGCAACGAUAUUCUGCAAGUUGGCGAUAUAGCGUCGGCACUCUUUCACGGCGACGGCUGCCGACGACACACAGCUGCUGGACGACUUCAAGGCGGCGCUGCUCAACCAGGCGUCGCUAGACAGCUGGACCGCGCGCGACGGCGCUUGCAGGUUCCCGGCGCGGUGUGCAGGGCCGGGCGCCUGACCUCUGCGGCGUUGAGAGGCUCAGCCUCCGCAGGGCCAACGUCAGCGAUGUGCUCCGGCGGCAGGUGCGGCAGCAAGGUCGAGUUGCUCGACCUCUCUGUAAAUUCCGUGCUGCGCGGCUCCUUUGCCGACGUGACCGUGCUGGCCGGCUCCUGCGGGGGGCUCAAGACGUUGAAUCUGUCCGGUGAUGCGAUCACCAGAGAUGACGACCUCCGCUGGAUGGUGGGUGCCAGCCUUUGUCUUUCCGGUGGCUGGACCUCGCAUGGAACAAGACCUCCGGCAGCCUCUCGGACUUCACCAACUGCUACGGGAUGCAGUACCUUGACCUGUUCGGCAACCUCACUGCCUGAGAUGUCGCCGCCGGGGCGCUCUACGGAUGCCGCAGUCUUAGAGCGCUCAACCUCUCCAGCAACCAUCUCGCUGGCACAUUCCCGCCCGAACAUCGCUGGCGCCGUGUGUAAUCUUCGCCCCUGCUGGCUUCUCUGCACCCCAUGUCUUGUACCUCUGGUCUUCGGAGCCACAUCGCGUGGGCAUCCAAUGGACAAUGGACAGGUUGCAAGGACGGCGUCACGAGGCGGCGGAGAUCCAUCCUACCAUGCGGACAGUGCCACACAGCAGUACCCUAGCCAGUCGCGCGACGACACCGGCUACGCCUCCUUCAAGGCCCAGUUGCAGUCCGUCAUAGACGCCACCACUGAGCUUGCUUGGUCGGCUGCAUGGCCAGCUCCUGCAGGAAUUCUCCAGCAAACUGGUCGUGCACGCGAGGUUUACUUCAAUCUGAAGGACAUGUCAGGUCAUGGUCCUGUGGCUGUGGGUUUCUUGCGGCGAUGGCUUGAGUUAUCGGCGGAGGCGCGCAGGGUGUUGUUUGCCUUCCGUGUGGUGUCGUGUGGGCUAGAUCCAGUGGCCAAUCUAGCUUCUCUCUUUAACAGGCCUAAGCUACUGGCUAACUACAAAUCUAGCUUCUCUCUUUAUAGCAGGCCUGAGGAAGAUGAUCCAUGCCUAUCCUCAUGUGAUGAACAUGUGAUUGAUUUAGGUGUAGAUAAAUUAGGAAAAGCCAAACUGGAGAGCCAUCUAGAUCGGCCGGCCAGCAUUAUAUCCUGCGCACUUGCUCUCAGGAAAGAGCUCCAAGGCUGCAGCGUUCCCCCCGUGACCAACCGAAUGAAUCUGGAUCACGCGGAGAAGCUUCUUUCCAGGUGGGGAAUCAUCAUCAGAUCAAACCAAAAGCAAUAUCAGAGAGAGACAGCAGGAAAAGAAGAAGAAAACCAUCAAACUGAAGGCAUGAUCCGCAAAAACAAUCAUCAAAAAGAUAGACGGCGGCAGUAUUGCUGCGGCGGCGACAUCAGAUGCGGCGGCGGCGGCGACAUCAGAUGCGGCGGCGGAUGGGAGGAGGAGAGUUCUGCUGCGCCGAAUAGGGGGGCUGCACCCUGUUAUAUAGAGAGCUUGCUAGGGUAUGGCGCCGCGUGGCAGUAA